ACCAAAAUCUGUUGACAUAUACUGUGUCCACAAAAUUUACGUAAAUAUUUACUUGCAACUGUUUAUCAAACCGUACUUCACGGAUUGCUAAAAAGUUGUUUUAAUACGGAUAAGAUCCCAUAAUCGUGUAGGCUCGAAAACAUCUUUUUCACAUUUGUGUGGAAAACUUCUUACUUAUUUAUUCUGAAGCUACAGUAAUUUUCAAACUAUAUCUACUUGUGCCUCAGGUUAUUUAGGACAGACGAGCGAGGCGUCAUCUCAACCUGUUGUCAAACCUGGAGACAAGCAGGGCACGCAUACCGAAAAAGAUGGGAGAAAGGGGGAGACGGGGGCAGACGUGAAGGUUGAAACAGAAAAUUCAAAACAGCCCGAUCCUCCGGAGGGAACAGGAUCCGUCAGACGGAUGUCGAAACUUGAGGAGGAUUUUCUGUACUCCACAAUUAGUUAGAAACACAUUAAUUUCAUUGUACGUGAAAUUUGCAUAAAAGUUAUACAUGAAAAAUAUUUAGUUUUUGGUGUCAAGAUGUAAGCAAAUGUGCAGACUUAAAAUAAAAUAUUUUAACGGUAUUACUCAAAUUAUUCACAUACUGUGAAUAAAGUCGAGCAAAAUUCCGACUAAUUGUAAGAAAACUAUUGUGUCAAAUUUACUUAUGGUAAACCAUAA
Folsomia candida is the source of this 664-nucleotide long non-coding RNA. RefSeq lists it as uncharacterized. The transcript has 2 exons. The record is from RefSeq and is a predicted model, not a curated record. Lineage: Eukaryota; Metazoa; Arthropoda; Collembola; Entomobryomorpha; Isotomidae.